RNAcentral lists this ribosomal RNA (444 nucleotides) under uncultured bacterium. Its description in RNAcentral is "partial 16S ribosomal RNA". It matches the Rfam family "Bacterial small subunit ribosomal RNA", at positions 338 to 795 of the family's 1533-position model. The record is from RNAcentral.
CCUACGGGUGGCAGCAGUGGGGAAUAUUGGGCAAUGGAGGAAACUCUGACCCAGCAAUGCCGCGUGAAUGAAGAAGGUCUUCGGAUUGUAAAGUUCUUUAGUCAGGGAAGAAUAAAAUGACGGUACUUGCAGCAUAAGUUCCGGCUAACUGCGGGCCAGCAGCCGCGGGAAUACGUAGGGCGUAAGCGUGGUUCGGAAUGACUGGGCGGAAAGGGUGCGUAGGCGGUUAUACAAGUUAGAAGUGAAAUACCCAGGGCUUAACUCGGGUGCUGCUUCUAAUACUGUAAGACUGGAGUGCAGUAGAGGUUAGUGGAAUUCCUGGUGUAGCGGUGGAAUGCGUAGAUAUUAGGAGGAACACCGGAGGCGAAGGCGGCUAACUGGACUGCAACUGACGCUGAGGCACGAAAGUGUGGGGAGCAAACAGGAUUAGAUACCCUUGUAGUC